Ostrea edulis (European flat oyster) is the source of this 3187-nucleotide long non-coding RNA. RefSeq lists it as uncharacterized. The record is from RefSeq and is a predicted model, not a curated record. The transcript has 11 exons. Lineage: Eukaryota; Metazoa; Mollusca; Bivalvia; Ostreida; Ostreidae.
CCCACCAUCAUUUAAACUACAUCAUCGUCUUUAAUUUGAUCGGGCGUGGUAUACCUUAUAAUACGUCACAAGCAAUGGCGCCGGCAAAUAGCGCCGGAUGUAUUGGAUUUUUCUAUGAAUUGGCUGUAUAACGGUAACGGUACCAAUUCAGUGUACCAUUUUUUCCAGAUAACCAUUUCUCAACCCAUCUAAGAGGAUAUCCUGUGUAUAUUAUCGCAGUAUUGGCACCUACCCCUGCACAGAUACCCCGAAUAGACCUGCCCGGACCAUUAUUAGAAGAGUGGACAGCAUUGUGCACCUGACCGGAAAAGUCCCUCGGAAAUGUUACAUUGCGAGGCAGAGAUCGUCGCAGGGUUCGAUUAAAGCUCUCGACCUUCUGAGAGUUGCAGUUUUUGAUCGUCUUGGCCAGGACAGCUGGAGACAAUCUUCUUGAGAUACAAGCAUGGAGCAAGUUCUCAUUCUCGGCCGAACAGGAAGCCCAUCCUGAUAGAGGGAAUGCGCCGCUCGGGUCAGUGGUUACCUCCUGUACCUCGAGGCCAGUCUCACUGAGGAGUUCUGCCAUUCCCUCCUUAGCCCAGGUGAACUCAUCCCCUAUGGUGUGAUGCAUUGGAAGGUUUGCCCCACAUACCCCAGGACUACAACAGUGGUCAACAGUGGCCAUGUUUGGAGCAAAUUUUAUUUUUUGUCACCACUUUAAUUAUUUGAUGUUUUGUGGUGACAUUCUCUGCAAAAGAAUACACAGUUUGUGUCGCCAGCUGGAAUGGUGUCUCACCCACCCUUGAGUACAGGGGGUUAUUGUACAUACCUUCGCUCUGAACAGAGAUGGUAUGUGGGGACUCAUUUCCCCUGAGGGUGUUGAUUUCCACCAGCUGGUGACACCUGUGACUCAUAUCCUCUUUAUUAAGGUUGACAAUUUUGGCCAGAACUUUGUUACUUGAUUUUUGUAGGGACUUACGUGAAGGGGGAGGGGUGUUGGUUGAAAGUAGAAUUUUCCUCAACCCAUCAUUUCCUAAAGGGGUUUGACUUAGGCCAACUUGUAAACCGUAGUUUACAGUGGCAGCCUUUCUCCCUGGGGAUUUGGUCUCUACCUCCUCAUACAAAUUGUACAGGCCAGACAGGAACGGACACUCAGAGCAUGUCAUCCUCAUCCGGGUGGCAAGGCCACGCCUCUCCUCAGUGUCUAGAUCCCAAGUCAGGAUACCCCGACAGUCUGGAAUACCUUGCUGGUUUAGGCGGAACACCUUGUUAAACAUGGCCGCUGUCUUGCCGAGAUGUAGCAGCCUGUGCGAGUCCUGGUUUACCCUAAGAAGAGUCAGAGAAGUAUUCAUUUCUCUCAUAAAAGGUUUGGAGUGCAAAUAGUGUACAGGCAGUUACUUCCCUUAGAUUUUGAGAAUUAUCAUACAACACUUACAACUGAUGUAUUUUUUAAUAUAGUUGUUUAAAUCUUCCAGAUUGGUAAUUAGUCAGAUGCAUGACUUAUUAACUGCUUGUAUCAUGCCUUAGUUUACAUAUAUCUGCAUGUAUUUACAUUUAGCAGUAGAUUUCAUGAGAAACACUCUCUGGGGGGGGGGGGGGGGCUAUAUUUUUCAUAUUCUCUGAUGUAACAUAUAACGAGGUGGUUCGUUUGCCAAAAAUGUCUUGAAAAUUUCAUCGAUGAUCAUUAAAUUAAUGAAACUUUUACUUACAUGUAUAGCAUUUGAGCAUUCCGGCACUCAUUUCCACCUUCAUUUUUCAGCUUCCUGAGCGUAACAAAUGGUGGCACCCUGGCCGCGGGAGCAUUUCCUGUUUUUCUGAAGCUGAAGGAGGGUCCUUCACUAACUGAUCCAUUUCAGGAGGCAGUCUUUCAUAUGGAGCAGUCAAAAAUCAGAUCCAAAUAUCAUCAGAAUUGUCAGAGUCUUUCAUUCCUGGUAAUGUCAAUGUCCAUAGAUGGUGCAGCUCAUUCACAUGGUGACAGAUCUCAUGACACAGAAAUUUCAGAACUCAAAUUUCCUACCUGUGCACAGGGUGGUGUCCACUAAGCUAAUGGUGGGGAUAGUAGCAGCUAUCCUGCACACAGACAUUGAAUGGAGCUGUCUGAUCCAUUAUCAGAAGAGUGGACAGCACUAUGCGUCCGAUCAGAGAAGUUUAUCAAGAAGCAUUACGAGGGACUUGUAUGAAUGGACAGAAGACAUUUUCUUAAUUCACCACUCCAUCAUUGCCUGGUGUUGAAGACUGAACACUUUAUUGAAAAUUGAUAGGAUGUAGCAAUCAAUGGGUGUCAUCAUUUGCCCUGAGAAGACUAAGAGAACUCCCUGGUCCUCAUGAGAUGGUGACACCCUGCAGUAGGAGCAGUUCUUACCGGGUAGCAGUUACUCGAGAUGUCUGACUGAUUGACGAGGAUAAUUGUCCUGCGCCUGACAUUCUGGUAGGACUUGGAUAGCUCUAUCACUGUAGAAAAUGUCAGGACGGUGGAGAUUUAGAUAAGUGGUGUGAUGUUAUUGAUGGUAAACAGAAGACUGUGACCUUGAAUCUGAAGAUCUGUGAUGAAGACCGGACGUUUGGGGUCACUCUCUGUUACAGUACUACAAAUCUAAGUACUCAGUAGUAAUAAUUGUGACACUCAGCCACAAAGAGGUUGUCUCUGAUGUCCACACAUAAACCCCAUGGAGUGACUAAAUGACAGUGAAUGUAACGGAGGAACUGUCCGUCCUGAUCUAGGAUGUGGAUACGGUCAUUGUAAGGGUCUGCUGUCAGGAUGUGACUCUGGCUGUCUGUAGUGAUGCCGACUGGAUAAAAUGAUUGCUCGGUAUUAGAGGGAUGACCAGUGUAUCUAAAUCGGAGUUUUCCUGACUGAUUGACCACCACUACUGCACUAGCUGACCGGUCAGCCACACAGAUAUCCAGGUUCUUCUUCUCACUGAGGUAUUUAUUACCACCAGAUGAGUAGAGAGGACGACCCUGAUCAUCAAACUGAAUGCUUUGUUUCUCUGUGGAGCCGGAGUAACGCACGACUUUGGAUUGUUUGUAAUCAUCACUGAUCAUGGUAACCAGGAGGUCGUUACCCGCGGUACAGCAGACAGAGAGAGGUCUCCACCCCUGUAGUGUGAUCACGAAUGAGUUGAGUGGGAAAAUGAGCCUCCAGAUGUAUAUGUACAUGUGUAUAUUAUAAUUAAACUUCUGUUGCACUCGCGCAUGCGAGGUUACUCUA